Molecule: ribosomal RNA, 828 nt
Filed under: uncultured eukaryote
Lineage: Eukaryota
Description: SSU rRNA
Rfam family: Eukaryotic small subunit ribosomal RNA
Source: RNAcentral
GGGCAAUUAGCUGCUGCAGUUAAAGCUCGUAGUUGGAUUUCGGUUAAGAGCGACCGGUCCGCCGUUUGGUGUGCACUGGUUGGUUUUAACUUCCUGUAGAGGACGUGCUCUGGGUUUAACGACCUGGACUCGGAGUCUACGUGGUUACUUUGAAAAAAUUAGAGUGUUCAAAGCGGGCUUACGCUUGAAUAUUUCAGCAUGGAAUAACACUAUAGGACUCCUGUCCUAUUUCGUUGGUCUCGGGACGGGAGUAAUGAUUAAGAGGAACAGUUGGGGGCAUUCGUAUUUCAUUGUCAGAGGUGAAAUUCUUGGAUUUAUGAAAGACGAACUUCUGCGAAAGCAUUUGCCAAGGAUGUUUUCAUUAAUCAAGAACGAAAGUUGGGGGCUCGAAGAUGAUUAGAUACCAUCCUAGUCUCAACCAUAAACGAUGCCGACUAGGGAUUGGCGGAUGUUAAUUGAUGACUCCGCCAGCACCUUAUGAGAAAUCAAAGUUUUUGGGUUCCGGGGGGAGUAUGGUCGCAAGGCUGAAACUUAAAGGAAUUGACGGAAGGGCACCACCAGGCGUGGAGCCUACGGCUUAAUUUGACUCAACACGGGAAAACUUACCAGGUCCAGACAUAGUAAGGAUUGACAGAUUGAGAGCUCUUUCUUGAUUCUAUGGGUGGUGGUGCAUGGCCGUUCUUAGUUGGUGGAGUGAUUUGUCUGGUUAAUUCCGUUAACGAACGAGACCUCAGCCUGCUAAAUAGUUGUACGCUACUCUUAGCGCAGCAACUUCUUAGAGGGACUAUUGGCGUUUAGCCAAUGGAAGUUUGAGGCAAUAACAGGUCU